GGAUGCGAGGGUGGUACGGCUGCCACGUGUCACUCCAUUGAUUGCAGGGUUGAUUUGGCUGAUCUGGCUGGCAAGGCAAGUGUCCCUUCCACCAUGAUUGCUCCAUGUGCUGUGCACUCGGUUGACGAGAAGGCCAGCCUGCUAGAGAAGGACCAUUUUCUUGGUCCAGUGUAUCAGAGGAGCUGUGCUCCCAUCAGAAUCUCCAAACAAGUGCUCAAAGAAACACGUGUACAGGGCCUGGCUCAUGUUUUACAGCACUGGACAAAAGGAAAUCUGAGUCAUCAUCAGUGAGAUGAGAUGAGGAGAUAGGAGUCAGUACUU
Molecule: small nuclear RNA, 321 nt
Filed under: Cavia porcellus (domestic guinea pig)
Lineage: Eukaryota; Metazoa; Chordata; Mammalia; Rodentia; Caviidae
Description: 7SK RNA
Rfam family: 7SK RNA
About the family: 7SK was discovered as an abundant small nuclear RNA in the mid-70s but a possible function has only recently been suggested. Two independent studies have found that 7SK RNA binds the CDK9/cyclin T complex (known as elongation factor P-TEFb).
Source: Rfam by way of RNAcentral